This 547-nucleotide ribosomal RNA is filed under the name uncultured Chlorophyta. Its description in RNAcentral is "SSU rRNA". It matches the Rfam family "Eukaryotic small subunit ribosomal RNA", at positions 598 to 1157 of the family's 1831-position model. The record is from RNAcentral. Lineage: Eukaryota; Viridiplantae; Chlorophyta.
CGUAUAUUUAAGUUGUUGCAGUUAAAAAGCUCGUAGUUGGAUUUUGGUUAAGAGGGCGCGGUCGGCCGUUUGGUCUGUACUGCGUUGUCUUGACUUCCUGAUGAGGACAUGCUCUUGGUUAACGCUGAGACAUGGAGUCAUCGUGGUUACUUUGAAAAAAUUAGAGUGUUCAAAGCGGGCUUACGCUUGAAUAUAUUAGCAUGGAAUAACACUAUAGGACUCCUGUCCUAUCUCGUUGGUCUCGGGAUGGGAGUAAUGAUUAAGAGGAACAGUUGGGGGCAUUCGUAUUUCAUUGUCAGAGGUGAAAUUCUUGGAUUUAUGAAAGACGAACUUCCGCGAAAGCAUUUGCCAAGGAUGUUUUCAUUAAUCAAGAACGAAAGUUGGGGGCUCGAAGAUGAUUAGAUACCAUCCUAGUCUCAACCAUAAACGAUGCCGACCAGGGAUUGGUGGAUGUUAAUUGAUGACUUCACCAGCACCUUAUGAGAAAUCAAAGUUUUUGGGUUCCGGGGGGAGUAUGGUCGCAAGGCUGAAACUUAAAGGAAUUGAC